Molecule: ribosomal RNA, 455 nt
Filed under: uncultured Dehalobacter sp.
Lineage: Bacteria; Bacillati; Bacillota; Clostridia; Eubacteriales; Desulfitobacteriaceae
Description: bacterial SSU rRNA
Rfam family: Bacterial small subunit ribosomal RNA
Source: RNAcentral
CGGUGGAGCAUGUGGUUUAAUUCGACGCAACGCGAAGAACCUUACCAAGGCUUGACAUCCAUAGAAUCCGGCAGAGAUGCAGGAGUGCCUUUCGGGGAACUAUGAGACAGGUGGUGCAUGGUUGUCGUCAGCUCGUGUCGUGAGAUGUUGGGUUAAGUCCCGCAACGAGCGCAACCCCUAUAUUCAGUUGCCAGCAUGUAAAGAUGGGAACUCUGGAUAGACUGCCGGUGAUAAACCGGAGGAAGGUGGGGAUGACGUCAAAUCAUCAUGCCCCUUAUGUCUUGGGCUACACACGUGCUACAAUGGGCAGUACAGACGGAAGCGAAGCUGUGAAGUGAAGCAAAUCCGAGAAAGCUGUUCGUAGUUCGGAUUGUAGGCUGCAACUCGCCUACAUGAAGUCGGAAUCGCUAGUAAUCGCAGGUCAGCAUACUGCGGUGAAUACGUUCCCGGGCCUU